AGAACGAACGCUGGCGGCAGGCUUAACACAUGCAAGUCGAACGCAUCCUUCGGGGUGAGUGGCAGACGGGUGAGUAACACGUGGGAACGUACCUUUCAGUUUGGAAUAACCCAGGGAAACUUGGGCUAAUACCGGAUACGCCCGUAAGGGAAGAUUGAUCGCUGAGAGAUCGGCCCGCGUCUGAUUAGCUAGUUGGUGAGGUAAAGGCUCACCAAGGCGACGAUCAGUAGCUGGUCUGAGAGGAUGAUCAGCCACACUGGGACUGAGACACGGCCCAGACUCCUACGGGAGGCAGCAGUGGGGAAUAUUGGACAAUGGGCGCAAGCCUGAUCCAGCCAUGCCGCGUGAAGGAUGAAAUCCCUCGGGAUGUAAACUUCGCAAGAACGGGAAGAAUAAGUAGGGACAAUACCCCCUAUGAUGACGGUACCGUUGUAAGCUCCGGCUAACUCCGUGCCAGCAGCCGC
This 464-nucleotide ribosomal RNA is filed under the name uncultured bacterium. RNAcentral describes it as "SSU rRNA". It matches the Rfam family "Bacterial small subunit ribosomal RNA", at positions 26 to 518 of the family's 1533-position model. The record is from RNAcentral.